RNAcentral lists this long non-coding RNA (812 nucleotides) under Carica papaya (papaya). Its description in RNAcentral is "long non-coding RNA (CPAP_LNC005589)". Lineage: Eukaryota; Viridiplantae; Streptophyta; Magnoliopsida; Brassicales; Caricaceae. The record is from RNAcentral.
AGGACUAGAAAUUAUGAAUUGGGAAAUUGGAAAAGAAAAAUUGAUCUUAAAAGAACAUGUAAGAGAAAAACUCCUCAUCUUUUUUAUUCUAAACUUGAGUGUCCUAGAAUUGAGCUUACAUGUAUGAUUCUCUCCAUCGAAAGAGUCAUUGCUCCAUUCCAUAGCUCAUCAGUGAAAUUCAAUGGAUUGAUAAGAGUGAUGGAUAACCUUUUGGAAGAGUUUUCAUUAUGAGUUUUUUACUUCAAAAAAAUACUCAUUUGUUACAGUUUUUAUUGUAAGUCCUUCUUCUGAUAGUAAAAACUAUUGAUUAAGGUUUUUAUUAAAAGUUUUUUUUUGUCUAAAAAACUCACGAAUUAGAGUUUUUGUUGUACAAAUUUUAAUUGAAAAAACUCAUUAUUCGGUGAAAUAGGCACCAUGGUCAACUAGCUUAUGUAAGCUCUACUAGAAAUAGUGAAAAGUCUCAAGCAAAAAACUUGAGGAGAGGAUGCAGCUAGGUAGUAAGAUAUUUAUAAAUCUCGUUUUCACUCUCUUUCUCAACUCUUUUUUAUUUAUUUCUUACUUUUAAUUUUAUUUUGAAAUUCAAUUUGAUUAGUUUUGCUAUUACAUUUUAUUUGAAGAUUCAAAUUAAUUCUUGGAAAAAGAAAAAUAGUCAAAGUUUUGAAAAUCCAAUUUAACCAUCCUAUUGUGUUCUUAUAGACCUUUAUAGGGUAACAAUUGGUAUUAGAUCAAAUUUUUUAAUAACUAAAGCUAUUCUUUCUCUCUUAACCAACAAGACCUAACUUACUUUUCAGUAAUUCGCUUCAAACAUUUUC